Transfer RNA from Pneumocystis jirovecii, 71 nucleotides. It matches the Rfam family "tRNA". Rfam says of the family: Transfer RNA (tRNA) molecules are approximately 80 nucleotides in length. Their secondary structure includes four short double-helical elements and three loops (D, anti-codon, and T loops). Lineage: Eukaryota; Fungi; Ascomycota; Pneumocystomycetes; Pneumocystales; Pneumocystaceae. The record is from Rfam.
GCUCGUAUGGUGUAACGGUAACACUUCACAUUGUGGCUGUGAUGCUCUAGGUUCGAUUCCUAGUACGGGCA